AAUUGGCGGAGCCCCGGGAUCGCGGCUGGUAAUGCGUAGCAUGUUUACCUUGCCGAUCUCGUCGUGGUCGAUGGCCUGCUUGAUGCGGGCAAAGUUGGAGCAAAUCUGUAAAAAUUAUCCAGGUUCGGAUUAAGGGCUGAAACUCGCCCUUAUGAAGUUGGAACCGCUAGUAAUCGCAGAACAGCAUUGUGCGGUGAAAGUGUUACUGGACUUUGUCUA
This 219-nucleotide non-coding RNA is filed under the name Phytophthora infestans T30-4. RNAcentral describes it as "Bacterial small subunit ribosomal RNA". It matches the Rfam family "Bacterial small subunit ribosomal RNA", at positions 1161 to 1384 of the family's 1533-position model. Lineage: Eukaryota; Oomycota; Peronosporomycetes; Peronosporales; Peronosporaceae. The record is from Rfam by way of RNAcentral.